CGAACGGGUGAGUAACGCGUGGGAAACCUGCCCUUGAGCGGGGGAUAACGUUCCUAACGGGGCGCUAAUACCGCAUAAUACCGGAUUCAGGCAUCUGUAACCGGUCAAAGAUGGCCUCUCUUUGAAGCUGUCACUUAAGGAUGGUCCCGCGUCCGAUUAGCUUGUUGGUGGGGUAACGGCCUACCAAGGCUACGAUCGGUAGCCGGCCUGAGAGGGUGUCCGGCCACACUGGGACUGAGAUACGGCCCAG
This 250-nucleotide ribosomal RNA is filed under the name uncultured bacterium. Its description in RNAcentral is "partial 16S ribosomal RNA". It matches the Rfam family "Bacterial small subunit ribosomal RNA", at positions 99 to 334 of the family's 1533-position model. The record is from RNAcentral.